NNNUAUGAUACAGAGAAGAUUAUUAUGGACCCAACACAAAUAUGACAUGCCAUAUCUGUGGAGCAUUUCCUAUUUUU
This 77-nucleotide small nuclear RNA is filed under the name Procavia capensis (Cape rock hyrax). Lineage: Eukaryota; Metazoa; Chordata; Mammalia; Hyracoidea; Procaviidae. The record is from RNAcentral.